Molecule: ribosomal RNA, 468 nt
Filed under: uncultured bacterium
Lineage: Bacteria
Description: partial 16S ribosomal RNA
Rfam family: Bacterial small subunit ribosomal RNA
Source: RNAcentral
GACGAACGCUGGCGGCGUGCUUAACACAUGCAAGUCGAACGGUAAGGCCCUGCUUUUUUGGUGUGUUCGAGUGGCAAACGUGUGUGUAACACGUGAAUCACCUGCCCUUGACUUUGGUAUAACUUCAGGAAACUGUGUCUUAUUCCGUAUAGGAGCCCCUGCUGCAUUGUGGGGGUUGGAAAGUUUUUGCGGUUGGGGAUGGACUCGCGGCUUAUCAGCUUGUUGGUGGGGUAGUGGCUUACCAAGGCGUUGACGGGUAGCCGGCCUGAGAGGGUGACCGGCCACAUUGGGACUGAGAUACGGCCCAGACUCCUACGGGAGGCAGCAGUGGGGAAUAUUGCACAAUGGGCGGAAGCCUGAUGCAGCAACGCCGCGUGAGGGAUGACGGCCUUCGGGUUGUAAACCGCUUUCGGCAGUGAAGAAGCGUAAGUGACGGUAAUGGGUAAAGAAGCACCGGCUAACUACGUG